UACGUAGGGGGCAAGCGUUAUCCGGAAUUAUUGGGCGUAAAGCGCGCGCAGGCGGUUUCUUAAGUCUGAUGUGAAAGCCCACGGCUCAACCGUGGAGGGUCAUUGGAAACUGGGAGACUUGAGUGCAGAAGAGGAAAGUGGAAUUCCAUGUGUAGCGGUGAAAUGCGUAGAGAUAUGGAGGAACACCAGUGGCGAAGGCGACUUUCUGGUCUGUAACUGACACUGAGGCGCGAAAGCGUGGGGAGCAAACAGG
Molecule: ribosomal RNA, 253 nt
Filed under: uncultured bacterium
Lineage: Bacteria
Description: partial 16S ribosomal RNA
Rfam family: Bacterial small subunit ribosomal RNA
Source: RNAcentral